AUUAGAUACCCUGGUAGUCCGCACGGUAAACGAUGGAUGCCCGCCGUCGGCAUAUGAUGUCGGCGGCCAAGCGAAAGCGUUAAGCAUCCCACCUGGGGAGUACGCCGGCAACGGUGAAACUCAAAGGAAUUGACGGGGGCCCGCACAAGCGGAGGAACAUGUGGUUUAAUUCGAUGAUACGCGAGGAACCUUACCCGGGCUUGAACUGCAGGAGAACGAUUCAGAGAUGAUGAGGCCCUUCGGGGCUCCUGUGGAGGUGCUGCAUGGUUGUCGUCAGCUCGUGCCGUGAGGUGUCGGCUUAAGUGCCAUAACGAGCGCAACCCCUCUCGCCAGUUGCCAUCGGGUGAUGCCGGGCACUCUGGCGACACUGCCGCCGCAAGGUGUGAGGAAGGUGGGGAUGACGUCAAAUCAGCACGGCCCUUACGUCCGGGGCUACACACGUGUUACAAUGGGGCAUACAGAGAGUUGGCCAUGCGCAAGUAUGGCCGGAUCAAGAAAGUGCCCCUCAGUUCGGACUGGGGUCUGCAACCCGACCCCACGAAGCUGGAUUCGCUAGUAAUCGCGCAUCAGCCAUGGCGCGGUGAAUACGUUCCCGGGCCUUGUACACACCGCCCGUCAAGCCAUGAAAGCCGGGGGCGCCUGAAGUCCAUGACCGCGAGGGUCGGCCUAGGGUGAAACCGGUGAUUGGGGCUAAGUCGUAACAAGGUAAC
This 710-nucleotide ribosomal RNA is filed under the name uncultured bacterium. Its description in RNAcentral is "bacterial SSU rRNA". It matches the Rfam family "Bacterial small subunit ribosomal RNA", at positions 777 to 1500 of the family's 1533-position model. The record is from RNAcentral.